Molecule: transfer RNA, 66 nt
Filed under: Kuphus sp. PMS-3700M
Lineage: Eukaryota; Metazoa; Mollusca; Bivalvia; Myida; Teredinidae
Description: tRNA-Leu
Rfam family: tRNA
About the family: Transfer RNA (tRNA) molecules are approximately 80 nucleotides in length. Their secondary structure includes four short double-helical elements and three loops (D, anti-codon, and T loops).
Source: RNAcentral
GUUGGGGUAGUAAAAAAUAAUACGUCGGAUUUAAAAUCCGGAGGUGGGGCUAGGCCCUCUUCAACA